This 388-nucleotide ribosomal RNA is filed under the name uncultured bacterium. RNAcentral describes it as "bacterial SSU rRNA". It matches the Rfam family "Bacterial small subunit ribosomal RNA", at positions 28 to 417 of the family's 1533-position model. The record is from RNAcentral.
GACGAACGCUGGCGGCGUGCUUAACACAUGCAAGUCGAGCGGUAAGGCCCUUUCGGGGGUACGACGAGCGGCGAACGGGUGAGUAACACGUGGGUGACCUGCCUCAGCUCUGGGAUAAGCCUGGGAAACCGGGUCUAAUACCGGAUAUGACUCCAUGACGCAUGUUGUGGGGUGGAAAGCCUUGUGCGGCUGAGGAUGGGCCCGCGGCCUAUCAGCUUGUUGGUGGGGUGAUGGCCUACCAAGGCGACGACGGGUAGCCGGCCUGAGAGGGCGACCGGCCACACUGGGACUGAGACACGGCCCAGACUCCUACGGGAGGCAGCAGUGGGGAAUCUCGCGCAAUGGGCGAAAGCCUGACGCAGCGACGCCGCGUGAGGGAUGACGGCCU